GACGAACGCUGGCGGCGUGCUUAACACAUGCAAGUCGAGCGAGGCCCCUCCUUCGGGAGGGUGUCCUAGCGGCGAACGGGUGAGUAACACGUGUGCAACCCGCCCUCUGCUCUUUGAUAACUCCUGGAAACCGGGGCUAAUACCGGAUACGACCUCCACGGGCAUCUGCGGAGGUGGAAAGUUUUUCGGCUGGGGAUGGGCGCGCGGCCUAUCAGCUAGUUGGUGGGGUAGUGGCCUACCAAGGCGACGACGGGUAGCCGGCCUGAGAGGGUGACCGGCCACACUGGGACUGAGAUACGGCCCAGACUCCUACGGGAGGCAGCAGUGGGGAAUAUUGCGCAAUGGGGGGAAGCCUGACGCAGCGACGCCGCGUGAGGGACGAAGGCCUUCGGGUUGUAAACCGCUUUCGGCAGGGACGAAGCGAAAGUGACGGUAACGGCAGAAGAAGCACCGGCCAACUACGUG
RNAcentral lists this ribosomal RNA (465 nucleotides) under uncultured bacterium. RNAcentral's name for it is "partial 16S ribosomal RNA". It matches the Rfam family "Bacterial small subunit ribosomal RNA", at positions 28 to 507 of the family's 1533-position model. The record is from RNAcentral.